UGGGGAAUAUUGCACAAUGGAGGGAACUCUGAUGCAGCGACGCCGCGUGAACGAAGAAGGCUUUCGAGUCGUAAAGUUCUUUUAUAUGGGAAGAUAAUGACGGUACCAUAAGAAAAAGCCCCGGCUAACUACGUGCCAGCAGCCGCGGUAAUACGUAGGGGGCUAGCGUUGUCCGGAAUCACUGGGCGUAAAGGGUUCGCAGGCGGAAAUGCAAGUCAGGUGUAAAAGGCAGUAGCUUAACUACUGUAAGCAUUUGAAACUGCAUAUCUUGAGAAGAGUAGAGGUAAGUGGAAUUUUUAGUGUAGCGGUGAAAUGCGUAGAUAUUAAAAAGAAUACCGGUGGCGAAGGCGACUUACUGGGCUCAUUCUGACGCUGAGGAACGAAAGCGUGGGGAGCGAACAGG
RNAcentral lists this ribosomal RNA (403 nucleotides) under Bacteroidota bacterium. Its description in RNAcentral is "Bacteroidetes bacterium partial 16S ribosomal RNA". It matches the Rfam family "Bacterial small subunit ribosomal RNA", at positions 355 to 776 of the family's 1533-position model. RNAcentral also lists the same sequence under 1 other name. The record is from RNAcentral. Lineage: Bacteria; Pseudomonadati; Bacteroidota.